AGAUCUCUGGCCCUGCCAUCUACCACUUCCAGCAGGUUGAGGCCCGCGGUGCCGUGUUCUGGGAGCCCUUGCUGUUCGCCAUCGCUCUUUGCGAGGCCUACAGAGUUGGACUUGGGUGGGCUACUCCCCGCUCCGAGGACUUCAACACCUUGAGGGACGACUACGAGCCCGGCAACUUGGGCUUCGACCCCUUGGGUCUCCUCCCCUCUGACCCCGCCGAAAGGAAGGACAUGCAGACCAAAGAGCUCAACAACGGGCGUCUUGCCAUGAUUGC
This 274-nucleotide long non-coding RNA is filed under the name Physcomitrium patens. RNAcentral's name for it is "long non-coding RNA (PPAT_LNC005678)". Lineage: Eukaryota; Viridiplantae; Streptophyta; Bryopsida; Funariales; Funariaceae. The record is from RNAcentral.